CGGGUGAGUAACACGUGGAUAACCUACCUAUAAGACUGGGAUAACUUCGGGAAACCGGAGCUAAUACCGGAUAAUAUAUUGAACCGCAUGGUUCAAUAGUGAAAGACGGUUUUGCUGUCACUUAUAGAUGGAUCCGCGCCGCAUUAGCUAGUUGGUAAGGUAACGGCUUACCAAGGCAACGAUGCGUAGCCGACCUGAGAGGGUGAUCGGCCACACUGGAACUGAGACACGGUCCAGACUCCUACGGGAGGCAGCAGCA
This 259-nucleotide ribosomal RNA is filed under the name uncultured Staphylococcus sp. RNAcentral's name for it is "partial 16S ribosomal RNA". It matches the Rfam family "Bacterial small subunit ribosomal RNA", at positions 103 to 355 of the family's 1533-position model. The record is from RNAcentral. Lineage: Bacteria; Bacillati; Bacillota; Bacilli; Caryophanales; Staphylococcaceae.